GAUGAACGCUAGCGGCAGGCUUAAUACAUGCAAGUCGAGGGGCAGCGCAGUGUAGCAAUACAUGGGCGGCGACCGGCAAACGGGUGCGGAACACGUACGCAACCUUCCUUUAAGUGGGGGAUAGCCCAGGGAAACUUGGAUUAAUACCCCGUAAUAUUAUGAAGUGGCAUCACUUUAUACUUAUAGCUCCGGCGCUUAAAGAUGGGCGUGCGACUGAUUAGGUAGUUGGCGGGGUAACGGCCCACCAAGCCUGCGAUCAGUAACUGGUGUGAGAGCACGACCAGUCACACGGGCACUGAGACACGGGCCCGACUCCUACGGGAGGCAGCAGUAAGGAAUAUUGGUCAAUGGACGCAAGUCUGAACCAGCCAUGCCGCGUGGAGGAUGAAGGUCCUCUGGAUUGUAAACUUCUUUUAUUUGGGAAGAAACCCACUGUUUCUACGGUGGUUGACGGAACCAGAUGAAUAAGCACCGGCUAACUCCAUGCCAGCAGCCGCGGUAA
Molecule: ribosomal RNA, 502 nt
Filed under: uncultured bacterium
Lineage: Bacteria
Description: partial 16S ribosomal RNA
Rfam family: Bacterial small subunit ribosomal RNA
Source: RNAcentral